This 71-nucleotide transfer RNA is filed under the name Elusimicrobiota bacterium. RNAcentral describes it as "tRNA-Gly". It matches the Rfam family "tRNA". Rfam says of the family: Transfer RNA (tRNA) molecules are approximately 80 nucleotides in length. Lineage: Bacteria; Pseudomonadati; Elusimicrobiota. The record is from RNAcentral.
GCGGGCGUAGUUUAGUGGUAGAAUGAGAGCUUCCCAAGCUUUUGAUGUGGGUUCGAUUCCCAUCGCCCGCU